GAGACAAUACCUCACGUGCUAGAAGAAGAGUAUCAUCCUUAAUGGAGGGUUAUAUUAUAGUGUAGAAGAAAAGAUAUCAUUAGUUCCAUAUUGAUUGGAGUCAAGAGAAAAUCUAACUUGUAAAGGGCAAAAUUGUGAGAUUCUGAAUGACCAAGGCCCACUAAAAAUUGAUUUUUUUUCUUGACUCUAAUCAAUAUAGGACUAUUGAUAUCUUUUCUUCUACGUUACAAUAUGUUCUUUGUAUGGAUCAAAAAUCUUAUUUUAAAUAGUAUUUCACCAUGAUGAAAACCCCUGUUUCUAUUGUACCGCAAAUCUUAGACUCUGCAUUUGGAUUGUCCAAGCUUCAAGCUCUUAGUAACAGUUAUCAGGAUUCAGUCCCGGUCUUGCUUUGUGCAUGAAACCCAACUCCCUCGGAUAGGUCUCGUGUUUAGCCACGGUUAGGCUUUGGGAAUAUCCAAACAAGCCUCAAGGAUUUCUCUUAUUCACAUCUAAAUUUUAAUGAAUUACAUGCCAAAAAACAACAUAAUAUUUUUAUGGUAUAACAAUUAAAACAACCCCCCCCCCCCCCCCCCCCCCUUCCUCCUUUGAAAAAAAAUAACACCAAAAAAAUGGUAGUGGACCAAAUUGUGCAUGGAGCCUACCAAAAUUAAAUUUUUCUUUUUUUCGCACAUCAACUGUUGGAUUAUAUCGUGAGAGGAUGGUAUCUUUAGUUCCACAUCGGUUGUGACUCAAGAGAGAAAAUAGCUUACAUGAAUUGAAAUCUUUUCUCUCAUAUGAGACGUUUUUUAAAAGACAAAACUGUUAGGCUUCAAAUGACUAAGGCUUACUAAACUAUGAUCAUAGUUAAAGUAGACAAUACUUCACAUAUGUGGACGCAGAGUUAAUCCAGUCAUCCGAGUCAUUCGAUUGGGGCAUAUGAGACGUUUUUUAAAAAGCAAAAUCAUAAAACUCCAAAUGAUCAAAAAUGUAUGCAGGUGUAGAGUCAUCCUAACCAUCUUAGCCAUCUGACCCUUGGACCAUUGACCACAAUAGAUUACAUAAUAUCUACUUCGAGAUCUAUAUAGAC
This 1066-nucleotide long non-coding RNA is filed under the name Elaeis guineensis (African oil palm). Its description in RNAcentral is "long non-coding RNA (EGUI_LNC021653)". The record is from RNAcentral. Lineage: Eukaryota; Viridiplantae; Streptophyta; Magnoliopsida; Arecales; Arecaceae.